CUCCGUGCUCCUGGGAAACAAGUCAGUGAUUAACCACAAGGAACUCAAGCUGACAACACACCUGGGACAAGGAGCUUACGGAACCGUGUACGAAGCAAUCUGGCUCGGUCACAAGUUUGCAGUGAAAGUCUUCCCUCAAGGUGACACCAGCUUCGCCAAAGAGCUCGCGGUUCUUGAAGCGGACAAGCAUCCCAACGUGUUGCACAUCGCCAGCCAUUCUUUCGAUGCAGAGAAGCAGCGGUACUCGCUGGUGAUGGAGAAGAUGGACAUGGACCUGGCAAACUACCUCCUCAAGAAGAAGAAGUCUCUCCCGUUGCUGUCGAUCGUGGCAGUGAUGCUCCAAGUUGCUACUGGCAUGGCGUGGCUUCACUCGAAGAAUAUAAUCCACCGGGACCUCAAGCCGCAGAACAUCUUGGUUGGCGAAGAAGACAACGAUCUCGUGAGUAUCAGGAUUGCCGACUUUGGAGUCUCGAGGCCCGAUUUCAUCUCCUCCCUCAUCAGCGAAGCCACCGCCAAGCAAGGCACCAGAAACUUCAUGGCACCGGAAGUGUGGAGCGGCGAGCGCUACACGAAAAAGGCCGACGUUUACAGCUACGGGAUGAUGAUUUACCAGCUUGUCACUGGAAACGUUCCGUUCGAGGACGGGAUGGACAUGGAGCAAGUCCUUCGAGGCGAGCGUCCUGAGGUACCAGCAACCUGUCCAGAGUUCCUGUCGCAGCUCAUGCGGGAAUGCUGGAGCCACGAUGCAAAAGAGAGGCCUUCCUUCUCGGAUAUCUGUGAGCGGCUGAAGCAGCUCAAGACCAGGAUCAUCACUGGCACCGACUCCAUCGACGAGUUACGAGCCAAGUUGGUUGAAGCAGCCAGGUCAUCUUCCUCUUCUUCGUACUCGUCGUCUUCCUCGUCCUCGUCGCACAGCAUGAACCUGGAUUCUCCUGUCCAAGCACCUGAGGGGCUUUGGACCCAAAAUCCUCCAUCUCCCGUUGUCCAGGUAAACUCUUUUGCUUUUAGUAACUCCACCUUUAGUUUCAGCCGGCACCACACCGUCCUCAGCACGUCGCACCAGCAGCAAAGCCGGAUAACAGGGCCGAGCUCUUCGAACUGGUGAAGAACGGCCUCGUCAAAAACGCCUUUGAGAAAGCUCUGUCCCUGAACGAUCCUUCCACGUUCUGGUGGCUUUGCACCAAGGUAAUCCAUUCACGUCCUCCAGCUGCUCAUCAAAGCUUUGUCAGCUCAGGUGGAGGAAAGCGUCCUGCUCACCUUCAGUGAAUCAAUGCUCAUGGAAGUGGCCGAGCAAAUCAACACCAACUUCAAGGAAGACACUGCUCGCAGGUUGCUCUGGAUGGACGAGAUCCUGGCCAUCUUGAUGUUGGUCGACACAUCACCUCGGAUGCGGAGGAUAUUGGAGAAGCUUUCACAGAACCUCCACGGCAUGAUGGCUAUAACACCUUCAAAGAACGAGCUGGGGAUGAAGCUGGCGAGAGUGCUGGAAGAUACCAACUUGGGUCUUCAUGUACGUAUGAAACUCUUCGUGUUAUUCGUUUGAUUCAAAUCGUUUGUCGUCGCAGGAUAUCCGAGUUGAGAACAGCAAAGCUGAGAAGAAAGGGAAAAGAAAACAGGGACCUAUGAUGUGAAAUAAAACAGCUAUAUAUUUCCAGCGGAACACCGGUAGUUUCUGAGUAUUGAGAUCUAAUUUUCUGCCUGCCAAAAGUAUCAACCAUGCUUCACGAAAGAACCAUAAAGAACUUACCAAUUCCCAUUCGUAACUUCGUCUCAUCCUGCCGGGAUAAACGUGAAGGAAACUUACGAGAUAAAUAUCAAAGCACAAAGGUCUCACCAUUCUUUAGUUCUUAAACUCGAGUAGACGGUGAAGAUCCCAACCUUUUCGAUCUGGCAGCAGAGCCUUGGCAGCUUCCGCCGCAGCGCAGACACCAGUAGUUCUCGUAGGAUCAUCGCUCUCCGCUCAAAGAACGAUUUUGCCGCUUUCAACUUCUCGGGAUCCCCAUACUUGUAUGGCUUGUAGACGAUCCCGGCAGCUAGCCGUUGCUUCUUGAGCUUGGCUGGACGAACGUACGCAUCGCCCAGUCUCUUCAAGCGCUUCUGGAUCACUCUCCUCCGGUACACUUGCGGCUCGGGGAUCUUGGGAUCGGCGAGCGGCAGGCGAUCCGGAGGAGGCACAGCAACCCACCUGAAAAUCCGAUCGUUCGCGUCACCGCCUCCCGCUUUGUUGCGCUUGGCCGGAUUCUUGGAGCCGGCGCCCUCGCCGUGCAAGCACUGCGUGUGGACGAGGAAUUUGCUCCGGAGCCACACGAGUAAGCGCCUGCUCUUGAUCCCUUCCUUCGCGUGAGAUUGCGCGAUCCAAUCGGGCCAUAGGUGCGAACAUUCUGCGUCGGCAGAUCCUUGGGGCUCUUCUUGGCGUAGACCUCGUGGAUGUAGAGGCGCAACGAGCGAGCUCCACUUAAAGAACCCUAUCGAAAUAUCGAUUGCAGAACAGAAUCGAACUAGAACAAGAACAGCAUGAUCCAUUUCUAGUCUCUCGUAAGUCCACGAUUGACGAGGUCGAGCGCGCAACCUGUGCUCGCUGCGCCAAGAAGAAUCCGCCAAACUUUCUGGACAGGCGCUCAAGACGUUACGUGCAAACCACUGGUGGGCAUGCAGGAUAGUGUCGUCAAACGCUAUGCUACCGGGAUGCGAGAGUGAACUAGCAGGGCGGAAACUAGGGUAUCCUGGCCGUCCAAUCCUAAACAACCUGUUUGGAGUACUGAAACAAGAAAAGCCAUACACGGAUUUUCUUAUGCCUGAUUAAAGUAUCCCAGACAAGACUUAGAACUUAGAAUAUUCAAAAAGAAAAGUCCACGGUAGACACUCUGCAAAGAAAUGGAGCGGCGCUAGUGGUGAUCACCAACGAGCAUGGCAGCAGCGACUUUGCUCGAGGCGAUUCGAAUCGCGGACAAGGUUGGCACAAGAUCCACGAACACAAACUCGAGCAAGGUCUGUAGAAACCCAUGUAGGAUCCUCAUCGCGGCGGUCGGCUAUGUCCGAGACUACCUCAAGCAAAUCCAAGAUCUCAACUUCACGAGCAACGGGCCAGCCUUCGUGUGGGACGAAACCGUGGCUGUCCUUCACAGAGGCCUCCAUCUCCUCAAGUCAUGCCAAGAUGGCGAUUGGAUCGCCCGGAGCCUGCUGUUCGAGGAAAGCUGCGAUGAGUUCCAGAGCAUUUACCACGAGAUCUACAACUGCGUCGAGCUCGUCAGCGUCUAUCUCUUUCAGCUGGCACCGUCCACCUCGCACAGAUCCAGGAUUGCCGAGGCUUACAACUCGUGCCUCAUGAGGCAGAACUCGAGCAGCAUGCUGGAAGAAGCCGGAAGGAACGAUCGGAAGGAGCUCAUGGCUCUCGCAAUGAACCAAGAGCCGGGAAGCCUGACGACCGAGACAGAACGAGCCAAAGAGAUACUCUGCUCCAUGCUCCUGGGAAACAAGUCAGUGAUCAACCACAAGGAAUUGAAGCUGAGAACACACCUGGGACAAGGAGCUUACGGAACCGUGUACGAAGCAAUCUGGCUCGGUCACAAGUUCGCGGUGAAAGUCUUCGCUCAAGGUGACACCAGCUUCGCCAAAGAGCUCGCGGUUCUCGGAGCUCACAAGCAUCCCAACGUGUUGCACAUUGCUGGCCAUUCUUUCGAUGGAGAGAAGCAGCGGUACUCGCUGGUGAUGGAGAAGAUGGACAUGGACCUGGCAAACUACCUCCUCAAGAAGAACUCCCUCUCGUUGCUGUCGAUCGUGGCAGUGAUGGCUACUGGCAUGGCUUGGCUUCACUCGAAGAACGUAAUCCACCGGGACCUCAAGCCGCAGAACAUCUUGGUUGGCGAAGAAGACAACGAUCUCGUGAGUAUCAGGAUUGCCGACUUUGGAGUCUCGAGGCCCGAUUUCAUCUCCUCCCUCAUCAGCGAAGCCACCCCCAAGCAAGGCACCAGAAACUUCAUGGCACCAGAAGUGUGGACCAGCGAGCGCUACACGAAGAAGGCCGACGUUUACAGCUACGGGAUGCUGAGCUACCAGCUUGUCACUGGAAACAUUCCGUUCAAGGUCGGGAUGGACAUGGAGCAAGUCCUUCGAGGCGAGCGUCCUGAGAUACCAGCCACCUGUCCAGAGUUCCUGUCGCAGCUCAUGCGGGAAUGCUGGAACCACGAUGCAAAAGAGAGGCCUUCCUUCUCCGAUAUCUGCAAGCGGCUGAAGCAGCUCAAGUCCAGGAUCAUCACUGGCACCGACUCCAUCGACGAGUUACGAGCCAAGUUGGUUGAAGCAGCCAGGUCAUCUUCCUCUUCUUCGUACUCGUCGUCUUCCUCGUCCUCGUCGCACAGCAGGACUCGAGUGAACCUGGAUUCUCUUGUCCAAGCGACUGAGAAGCUUUGGACCCAAAAUCGCCCGCCUUCUCGUGUCCAGGUAAACUCUUUUGCUUUUAGUAACUUCCGGACCCUCACCACCUUUGGUUUCAGCCGGUACCACACCGUCCUCACCAAGUCGCACCAUUACCAAAACCAGAUAAAAGGACCGAGCUCUUCGAACUGGUAAAGAACGGCCUCAUCAUAAACGCCUUCGAGAAAGCUCUGUCCCUGAACGAUCCUUCCACAGUCUGGUGGCUUUGCACCAAGGUAAUCUGUUUACGCUCUCUGGCCGCUGAUCACGCCCGUCCUUUGUCAACUCAGGUAGAGCAUACCGUGCUGCUUGUCUUCAGUGAAUCGAUGCUCAUGGCACUGGCCGAGAAAAUCAACACCAACUUCACGGAAGACACUGCUCGCAGGCUGGUCUGGAUCGACGAGAUUGGCGACUUGCUGUUAAAAGACCGCAAUGGAUGGGCAUCACCUCGGAAGAUGAGGAUCCUGGAGCAGCUUUCACAGAACCUCCACGGUAUGAUGGCCAUAACACCACCAAAGAGUGAGCUGCGCAUGACCUUGACGAACAUGCUGGAAGGCACCAACAUGUGGCUGCAGGUUCGUACAUAUGAAGCUCUUCGUUUCUUUCGUUUCCAUCUCCUUGAUUCACAUCGUUUUGUUGCAGCGUGUCCGGGUUGCAGUGGAAAACAAAGUUCGAUACAUGAGCAUCGUUGGCGGAUAUUUUCCAGCGGAACACCGGUAGUUUCUGGAUGUUGAUGUCCUGGCAUAAAACAUGCUUCACCUUACCCUGGCCAGCAAAACUUACGAGGAAAAGAAUGAGCUCAACAGCCGUGACCUUUGGCAAGCUGAAGAUCUUGCUCCCCAACUGAAAUCGCUUGCUCGCUCGCCUAAACCCUAAUUUCGCUCAGUUAAUGAUCGAUUCCAGCCUGGAUUUGAAUUGAAAGGGUUGCGGCACUGCUUGCUGCCGCUGGAGACGAUCUGAUGUCCCUGUUGCUACAAGGGAAGGCUUCCUUGGGCUGGAGAUUUGCUGAUGCUGCCAAGAGGCCUCUCUUCUUGUUGGGCACUAGGCGUGGAAUUGCUGUGCGAAAGGGCCUUGAGGCUGAUGGAGAGAUCACAUUCGAGUGGGGCAGAUGGAGCUGGUUCCUGAUGGGUCCUGAUACAAGCUGGGGUGUGUGCAAGCUUGGAUACCAUGCUGCUGCUGCUGUUCAACACCACAAGAUGCUGAUUUCAUGAGCUCGGCUUUUCUGGCUGAGUGGGGAGUGAGAUAGGGUUCCCAGUGGUAGUUUUUUUUUUUUUUAGCCUUUGCAUACUGAUCUCGGAGCAAUAGAGUUUUUUUCUUUUCUUCCUUAGUUUUCAACAUGGACAACACAAGUAGCCUGUGGAUUAAUGAGGUACAAUAGAAGAGGAUCUAGCCCAGCUUGAUUAGGAAUUUCCACUGUUGGAGCUUACAUGAUCUCUUUUUGUUGAAGACAUGAAAUGCUGAAUUAAGCCAUACUGACAGUAUGUAUAGAAUCUGGCCACCUGCAACAUAUGUCAAUAAGCCACUUUCUACUGGUGAUGAUUACUUACAUAACAAAGCUAAAUCAAUGGUGCUUGACAUACACCCCAGGAUCUUCAUCUUGCUCCAUGAUCUCAAGUACAACAUUUGGAAGCUUGCAUGUGAGGAAACCCUGGAUAACCACAGCGAAAUCUUCCAAGAACUUGAUAAGUCUUCAAGAGUAUCAACGAUUGCCUUACAAGUCUCAUUCCUAGUCACAGUACUUUCGCUGAUUCUGUAGAGCUCUAAGAGUGUGAUAUACUUCUGCUCCGUUUCAUAGCUUGUACAAAGUACAAGCAACCCAGAUUUGCACAAAAACUGCUCUACGAUAGCUGGUAUCUUGCUUUCGAAUGUGAUGGUGUAGGAGAUGCACAAUACUAUUAAAUGUUGUCUUUCAUGGGCUUGAUAUCUAGCCUGAAUAAAGAACUUGCUCUAGCUCGUCAAACAUUUCUUGCAUGAUCCUCAUUUGUAGUUUCUCUGGGAUCAAAGCUUGCUUCCCAGCCUCAUCAAGGUUGCACAUCAGUUACUCUUGUUAUAUUUUUCUACUCUACUGUUGAGAAGCUUCACUAAGAUGCACUCCCACUUCUUGGCUAUCGACACCAUCUUUUCUCGUUGAUCUAUGUUCAUUAACUCAUCUUUAGUCUCAUGGAGCUUCACAUUGAUGAGGAGCAUAAUUUCUACAAGAGACCAAUUUGGCAUGUGAUCUCUUGGUAGUAAAGUUCUUGCUUUUGUUAGUGACGGCCUUAGCAGUAGCAACAUGAAGAGAUGGCCCAGACCCGUCAGCAGUAAAAGCAACCUCAGUAGCAACAAGAAAAUUUCUUCCAUUGAAAGCUUUUCUAUUACUUUGAAAGUUCUAAAAAUGCUUGUUUACCUCUAAAGUUCUUUUUAUGUAUGUUGCUCCUCAUAAAAGAUCCUUGGCAAGCACAAGAACUGAUAGUGCUAGAACUUCCAAGGAAUGGAGGAUGUGUUCUUCCAUAACAAAGCAAAAAUUCACACUUUAAGUGGAAAAAUUGAUAAAUCACUUUUUUACAUAGAAUUCUUGCUCGUAUAGUUGUUCCCAACUUCUGGCAACAAAUUGACGCGCUCCCAAUUUCCCACUACAAAGCAAUUCAAUCAAUCCACACUAAGAACCAAAAUUUGUACUAAGAGCUAACAUAUCUUAAAUCAAUUAAUCUGAUCUGACCAGCAAUUNNNNNNNNNNNNNNNNNNNNNNNNNNNNNNNNNNNNNNNNNNNNNNNNNNNNNNNNNNNNNNNNNNNNNNNNNNNNNNNNNNNNNNNNNNNNNNNNNNNNNNNNNNNNNNNNNNNNNNNNNNNNNNNNNNUAAUGGUAAAUGGUAUGAAUUAAGUUUUUAUUAAUGACAUAUUUUAUUUAUAAUUUGAAGAGCAAAAGGGAUCAUGGGAUCAAAGUUGAUGACUUAACUAGGAGUUAAUGACUGUUAUUUAUUCAGACUUUCUAUGAGAAAGAGAAAGAGUGAGCCAUAUAAAUUGUUGAAAAUUGAUAUUUUACUAGUUCUUAUGUUUAUAUAUAGAUCUGGAAAUAUUGAGAAUCCAAAAGCACCCACUUUCCUAUUUUAAUAACCAACUUAUGAUUUGGGGGAUCAAAGAGUUAUUAAAAUAGGAAAGUAUAAAUUAUUUUCCCUUUUAUAAGUGCUUUUGGAUUCCAGACACAUAUAUAAACAUAAGAACUAAUAAAAUAUCAUUUUUUAGCAAUUUAGAUGGCUCACUCUUUCUCUUUCUCAAAGAAGAACAUGUAUCUCACAUAUUAGUAGGAGGAAGCAAAUAUCACUAAAACACAUCCAUCAUAUUACUUACAAGAGUAAUUUCAAUAUUAUACAACUUUUCUAAGUGAAAAAAGUUGAGGUAAAGGCCUUUGAGGUAGAAGUAGAGGUUGUUUUCAAGUGGAUGAUGUUAGGUCAUAGUAAAUACAUCAUGAGUUUAUAAAGUUCUUAGAUCAAUUUUCACUUUUCUUGCAAGUUUGAGUGCAAAAAGCUUGCUUAGUAUCCUAACCAAUUUGAUGGGGGAAGCUGAAAAAUUCAUGUAAGUGUUGAUAUUUCUCAAUAAUGAAUAUUGGGUAAAUUAGUGGAGAUGAAACUUUAACUUGUGCAUUUUCAUCUAGCUAGCAUAAGUAAAUCUUUGGAACAUAUCCCAUUCUCAUAGCGGAAAACUUAUAAACAAAAGUCUAUAUGUAAAAGCUUUUUAUAUGUAACUCUUUUUCCUUUGUAUGUUAGGCACAUUCUGUGAAAUAUAAGUAUUAUUCUUGCAUUCAAUAUAGACUUGCAAUAAGAACACUACAUUAGAUUGAUGGCUAGGGCUGUUUGUUUUUUCUUGCUUGGGUGUGUUGUCAUCCAUAUAUAGUGCUAUUAGCAAGUAGCAACAAAUGCCUUCAAAGGGUAAAACUAUAAUUUAUAUAUUAUGUCAGAAAGGUUUUCAUUAAUGAAAAGUAUCAUUCCAUGCAAAAGUUACAAUCAAUGCCAAAAAUAAAUAAACUCCUCCCCAAGUUAUGUGAUAUGUAAUGUUAUAAAACUAUAUGGAGCAUCGACUCACAAAAAAAGUUAUAACUCUGAAAAUAAGCAAAUAAAAUACUUAUAGCUAAGGUUCUUCUCAAAAUGUGAGAUGUGAAGUUAUUCACCAUUGCUAUGCACACAGCUUCACUUUACAUAUUGCCAUUAGUUGCUUAAGCUUAUAUUUCUCAACAUAAUUUAGAGGAGGAGGAGGUGAUGACUUGCAUUUGGAGAUUUUAAUCUCUAAGCCUUGCAUUGAGAUAAUGAGUUUAUCCUUAAAUUUUAAAAACAUAGGAAAUUAAUUUUAUAUAUAAGUUGUAGCAUAAUGUUUCAUAAGUCUAUUUCUAACACUCUUAUGAGCCUUAUAUUGUGUAACCUAAAUAUCAUUAUAAAGUUCCUUAAACACUUUUAUGAGUUUAGAGCUUCUACCUUCACCAUCAAAGCCUUCACCUCCAUCUACACCAUGUAAUGUGGAGUAUCCACCAUAGCCUUGACCAAUUGGAGCCUUCAUGAUGUUACAUAAAAUUUGCUCAUUUGUGAAUUUGCAUCACACUUGAAGCUCUUCAUUCACCAUUUUAUUCCUAAUCUCCUUGUGUUGCACUUCCUCACAUAGAGGCACCUCCUCACAUGGAAGCACAUCGUCCACCUCCUUAGUUUUGUCUUUCCUCACAUAAGUCACAUUUUCCAUUUCCUUAUAUUGCACUUUUUCCUCCAUCUCCUCAUAUUGCAUAUAGAAGCAUCUCCUCUGCCUCCUCAUAUGAAGGCACCUUCUCUAUUUUCGUGUGUUGCACCUCCUCAUAUGGAGGGAGCUCUGAAUCCUUUAGCAUCUAGGAGUUCUAGAUUUUCCAGCACUUCAUGAGACUCAAGCUCUAAAUCUUACUUUUCACGUCAUACAAUAUAAAAUUGUGUUCUAGGCUCCAUUGCCCCACUACAUAAGUUCUAAAAGAGUUAGCAAACAAAUUCUAACACAUUGAAUUGAAUCCUUACAUUUCAAUGGCAAUCAUUACACCAUUUGUAGUGAUGAAAACUCUAACUAGUGCAUGUUUUUAAAGUGUUGGUGCAAUUUCUUUUAAUAUCUCCAUUUCAAUAGGAUCCUCCACCAGUGGUGUUUUUAUGUGAUUUGUAGUGGAGUUGAUUCUUCCACAAUUUGUAAAGGACCAAGAUCUUGUUGAAAAAAUGCAUAUGUUUUGUGGAUCUGGGGAAUAGAAUAUAAUAUGGUCCUCGAUAUUGAAGCCAUAUGUACAUGAAUAACAUGCCCAUUCUAAGCCUAAAAAUUCACAAUACCCACCUCAAUAGAGCAUGAAUGUUUCUCUUAGGAAACAAAAAUAAUAACAAAUGUGUCAAUAGGUAGAAAUUUAUUAUGCCACCCACAAAUUAGUAUUCCCGUACAUGAAUUAGAACCAUGCAUGGUUGAUCUAUAAAUAUUGCCUCUAAAUCUCCAUUUACACUUUGCAUAAAACACAGGUUCAUAUUGUUUACUAUAUAUUUUAAAGCUUAUCAGCAAAAGACUAGCUUGAAAGUAUGUUUGCGUGAGUGUGGUCAUGUAUAUGUAUAGGUUGAGCAAAUUCAGCAAAGUGGAGGGCAUCACCCAUAUGCCCCCUUCCACGUCAUAUAAACACAUGCAUAAUUGACACAUAAAGAAUCAUUACAACCACUUGUGUAUAACUAUAACAUUCCAAUGCCCCACAAUUAUGCUCACUGCAAUGAGCAUAAAACUUAUACCAAUGAAAAAAGCUAAAUAAAUGAAAAAUUACCCCACACAAUAACUAUCUCUAUGUAUUGCAAUAUGCCCAAGAAAAGAAACAAAAAGCCUUGACCAACAAUCUAAUAUAAACUCCAACCUUAAGUCCACAAUCAAUGCAAGAACAAUGCCUAUAUCACGUGGGAAUAGCACAAUAUGCCCAAAACACAAAGGAACGAGAGUUACAAGUAUUUGCAAUCUCACUUAACCUUGAUCAAUAUAUGCUAAUCUUCAAGUGCCAACAUCACUCCUAAAUAGCACACAUGAAAGAAUGGAAGUCAUAACUGCUUGCAUACAAAGACCUCUCACCCAAACCCUAAUCAAUGCAUGCUCCUACUCUUCAUCACACCCACCAAUAUGUAAAAUUUGCUUUUGAAGCAUAUCAUGCCCACAUCACACCUAAGAUUGUGGGAAAGCUGUUGUUCUUGGCUGGAUAUAAAGGAAGUGCAAUACUAAAGACAAAAAAAACUUCACUAGAUUUUUUGUGAUGUCUAUGUGGCAGGUUUAAAUGGCAUACAAAUCACAUUUUAAUCAUAUAAAAUGAUGUACUUUAAAUUCUGUUGAUUCCAUAUCAUCAUAUUUUCUUGUAGUGUUAGUGAUAUAAAAAACAUAUUUAACUUUACUUUUACUACAUAGGCCUUGCAAAACACCUCUGAUAUCUUGGAUCAAACUUCCAUGCUUAGUCACCUAAAACAGUACUUUUAGAAGUUCAGACUCUUAAACAACUUUAAGUAGCCUUUUAUGGUCUUAUUAAACGUAUUAUUCCCCAGGAGUAAUGGAUAUUUCUGCACACCCACAUUGGCAAGUUGCAUCAAACACAAUCACUUAGCAAGUUGGCCUCAAACACAAUCACGUUUCCCCAAUAACUAGCACAACUCCACCAAAAAAAUAUCAAUAGCAUUACCCCUUGAUCUUGCCACUAUGGAGAACAAAACGUGCCAUGAUACUAGUUUAUAUUUUCGAAGCGCAACUACACAUGAAAUUCGAAAAGUCAACAAUCAUUUUCCAGGAUAUAGCUUUCUAACAUCAAUCGGCGCUGGUGGUGAUUGCAUGGCAGCAAAAAGUUUGGCCGAGGCAAUUCGAAUCUCAGACAAAGUUGCCGCAAGGUCCACGAACACAAACUCGAGCAAGGUCUGUAGGAACCAAUGUAGGAUCUUCUUAGCAGCGGUCGACCAUGUCGGAGACUACCUCAAGCGAAUCCAGGAUCUCAACUUCACGAGCACUGGGACAGCUUUCGUGUGGGACGAAACCGUGGCUGUCCUUAAGAGAGGCCUCCAUCUCCUCAAGUCGUGCCAAGAAGGCAAUUGGAUCGCGCGGAGCCUGCUGUUCAAGGAAAGCUGCGAUGAGUUCCAGAGCAUUUAUACCGUCCACCUCGGUAAGAUCCAAGAUUGCCAAAGCUUACAACUCGUGCCUCAUGAGGCAAAACUCGAACAGCAUGCUGGAAGAAGCCGGAAGGAAUGACAGGAAGGCGCUCAUGGCUCUCGCAAUGAGCCAAGAGCCGGGAAGCCUGACGACCGAGAGCGAGCAAGCCAAAGAGAUACUUUGCUCCAUGCUCCUGGGAAACAAGUCAGUGAUUAACCACAAGGAACUCAAGCUGACAACACACCUGGGACAAGGCGGUUUCGGAACCGUGUACGAAGCAAUCUGGCUCGGUCACAAGUUUGCAGUGAAAGUCUUCCCUCAAGGUGACAAGAGCUUCGCCAAAGAGCUCGCGGUUCUCGAAGCGGACAAGCAUCCCAACGUGUUGCACAUCGCCGGUCAUUCUUUCGAUGAAGAGAAGCAGCGGUACUCGCUGGUGAUGGAG
RNAcentral lists this long non-coding RNA (11973 nucleotides) under Selaginella moellendorffii. RNAcentral's name for it is "long non-coding RNA (SMOE_LNC001577)". Lineage: Eukaryota; Viridiplantae; Streptophyta; Lycopodiopsida; Selaginellales; Selaginellaceae. The record is from RNAcentral.